RNAcentral lists this ribosomal RNA (524 nucleotides) under [Candida] sp. HN1-2(a). Its description in RNAcentral is "eukaryotic LSU rRNA". It matches the Rfam family "Eukaryotic large subunit ribosomal RNA", at positions 45 to 668 of the family's 3401-position model. The record is from RNAcentral. Lineage: Eukaryota; Fungi; Ascomycota; Saccharomycetes; Saccharomycetales.
AAAAAGCGGAGGAAAAGAAACCAACAGGGAUUGCCUUAGUAACGGCGAGUGAAGCGGCAAAAGCUCAAAUUUGAAAGCCUCGGCAUUGUAAUUUCAAGACUCUAAGAAAAUAAACGUUCACAAGUCCAUUGGAAAAUGGCGCCUCAGAGGGUGACAGCCCCGUAGAACAAAAAUCUCUUAGGGCCAAAGAGUCGAGUUGUUUGGGAAUGCAGCUCUAAUGGUGGUAAAUUCCAUCAAAAGCUAAAUACUGGCGAGAGACCGAUAGCGAACAAGUACAGUGAUGGAAAGAUGAAAAGCACUUUGAAAAGAGAGUGAAACAGUACGUGAAAUUGUUGGAAGGGAAGGGCUUGCAAGCAGACACGGUUCGUCCGGGCCAGCAUCAGUUGCAGGGGUGUCACAAAACGUCAAGAAUGUAAGCUUCGGUGGUUAUAGCUUGGCGCAAUGGCACCUCCCGCGACUGAGGCCUGCAUUCCUUAGGAUGCUGGCGUAAUGGUUGCAAGUCGCCCGUCUUGAACCACGGACCA